AGCGAACGCUGGCGGCAGGCCUAACACAUGCAAGUCGAACGAACCUUUCGGGGUUAGUGGCGGACGGGGGAGGAACACGUGGGAAGGUGCCGUUAGGUUCGGAAUAAUUCAGGGAAACUUGUGCUAAUACCGAAUGUGCCCUUCGGGGGAAAGAUUAAUCGCCUUUAGAGCGGCCGGCGUCUGCUUAGCUAGUUGGUUGAGGUAAUGGCUAACCAAGGCGACGUUGAGUAGCUGGUCUGGGAGGAUGAUCAGCCACAUUGGGACUGAGACACGGCCCAAACUCCUACGGGAGGCAGCAGUGGGGAAUCUUGCGCAAUGGGCGAAAGCCUGACGCCGCCAUGCCGCGUGAAUGAUGAAGGUCUUAGGAUUGUAAAAUUCUUUCACCGGGGACGAUAAUGACGGUACCCGGAGAAGAAGCCCCGGCUAACUUCGUG
Molecule: ribosomal RNA, 434 nt
Filed under: uncultured bacterium
Lineage: Bacteria
Description: partial 16S ribosomal RNA
Rfam family: Bacterial small subunit ribosomal RNA
Source: RNAcentral